AGUAAGUUCAUUCUAUUCAAAUUAGGUAUCCUUUGGAAUAGGAAACGUUUUCAGCCAUUGUACAUUAUUGAACUUUUAUUUUGUCUACCGUGUACAAAGUACCUGUGAGAUGGGGAUACAAAGAAGGGGCAACUGAGACAAACAGGUGUUGAGAAAUUUGCUCAAGAUUACACAACCAAGAUGUAGUGAAGCUGGGAGAGGAACCCAGACAAUCAGCCUCUGGAGUCCUUUCUGUGUACAUGGACUUGAGAGAGCACUAAUGACCACCUUACGCAGACCUAUAAGGCCAGGCUAAGGAGCUUGAAUUUUUCCUGCCAUUCUGACGGUGGAGAAAUGGAUAUGGGCAGUUCAGCCACCUCACACCAUCACACUCUCUUUUGAGAGCGGUCUUGGAAACCAGCCAGAUUGCAUUGUUGUCCUUCUGUCAAUUACAAGUGUGCCAGACACCCAAAGCAUUGGGGAGGAAGUGCAAUUAUUAGAAGCUACCCAAGAGACUAUCCCAAUGUCAUCCCUGACUUGCCAGGUGACCUUUAGAAAAUCAAAUGUGUAAAAGAGGGAUGAUAAAUUGUUCUCUAGGCCAAUCAUGCAAAUGAGUAGAAACACCAAAGGAGAAAAAAGUUAGGGAAAGGAGAAUUCCAAAGAAACCAAUUUUUGUUCAUGGAAGAACUGUCUUCUAAUACAAAGAGAACCAUUCCCAAAUAAUGGGUAAAAUCCUUCCCCCAGAUAUUGGUCAUAAUUUACCAACCUACUCCUGUUCAUGUCUGUUAAUCCCAAAUGCCUUCUUCCUGCCAAAACCCAUGUAUCUAACACCUAUUUUUUCAUUUUUGGUGAAGCGUUAAUGGUUUUAUAAAAUAACUUCUAAGAUUCUUUACCCCAAUGCCAGAAAAGCCUUUAUUUUCCCUUGGACAUAGGGCUGUGGGGAUGAGAGUGAGAACAUAAAUGGGAAAGCAGAAAAAUCUAUUUAUUUAUUAUUCAUGUGUCUAUGGAUAUAGCAACUCUAUUGGCCUGGUUGUGGUCUGACACUGAAGGGAUUAUAUUUUCAGAGCAAAUAUUAAAGGGAGAAAUUAUUCUUAGUCAUCAAAGGAUUGGCCUUCUAAGAAUGUGUCCCAGUAAGAAAUACUUUGAGCUACAUAAAGAGUUGGGUAAAAAGAAAGCCAUCAUGAAUUGAACACCA
Homo sapiens (human) is the source of this 1174-nucleotide long non-coding RNA. RefSeq lists it as uncharacterized. The transcript is spliced from 3 exons. The record is from RefSeq and is a predicted model, not a curated record. Lineage: Eukaryota; Metazoa; Chordata; Mammalia; Primates; Hominidae.